Molecule: ribosomal RNA, 253 nt
Filed under: uncultured bacterium
Lineage: Bacteria
Description: partial 16S ribosomal RNA
Rfam family: Bacterial small subunit ribosomal RNA
Source: RNAcentral
UACGUAGGGGGCGAGCGUUAUCCGGAUUCACUGGGUGUAAAGGGAGCGUAGACGGCAUGGCAAGUCUGGAGUGAAAGCCCGGGGCCCAACCCCGGGACUGCUCUGGAAACUGGUAUGCUAGAGUGCUGGAGAGGUAAGUGGAAUUCCUAGUGUAGCGGUGAAAUGCGUAGAUAUUAGGAGGAACACCAGUGGCGAAGGCGGCUUACUGGACAGUGACUGACGUUGAGGCUCGAAAGCGUGGGGAGCAAACAGG